Molecule: ribosomal RNA, 468 nt
Filed under: uncultured bacterium
Lineage: Bacteria
Description: partial 16S ribosomal RNA
Rfam family: Bacterial small subunit ribosomal RNA
Source: RNAcentral
GACAAACGCUGGCGGCGUGCUUAACACAUGCAAGUCGAACGGAAAGGCCCUGCUUUUGUGGGGUGCUCGAGUGGCGAACGGGUGAGUAACACGUGAGUAACCUGCCCUUGACUUUGGGAUAACUUCAGGAAACUGGGGCUAAUACCGGAUAGGAGCUCCUGCUGCAUGGUGGGGGUUGGAAAGUUUCGGCGGUUGGGGAUGGACUCGCGGCUUAUCAGCUUGUUGGUGGGGUAGUGGCUUACCAAGGCUUUGACGGGUAGCCGGCCUGAGAGGGUGACCGGCCACAUUGGGACUGAGAUAGGGCCCAGACUCCUACGGGAGGCAGCAGUGGGGAAUAUUGCACAAUGGGCGGAAGCCUGAUGCAGCAACGCCGCGUGCGGGAUGACGGCCUUCGGGUUGUAAACCGCUUUCGCCUGUGACGAAGCGUGAGUGACGGUAAUGGGUAAAGAAGCACCGGCUAACUACGUG